CCUACGGGUGGCAGCAGUGGGGAAUAUUGCACAAUGGGGGAAACCCUGAUGCAGCGACGCCGCGUGAGUGAGGAAGUUCUUCGGUAUGUAAAGCUCUAUUAGCAGGGAAGAAAAUGACGGUACGUGACUAAUUACCCCCGGCUAACUACGUGCCAGCAGCCGCGGUUAUACGUAGGGGGCAAGCAUUAUCCGGUUUUUCUGGGUGUAAAGGGAGCGUAGACGGUAUUGCGAGGCUGGUGGGAAAAUCCUGGGGCCAAACCCGGAAUUGCAUUGGAAACUGGAUUUCGAGAGUGUCGGAGAGGCAAGUGGAAUUCCGGGUGAAGCGGUGAAAUGCGUAGAUAUCAGGAAGAACACCAGUGGCGAAGGCAGCUUGCUGG
RNAcentral lists this ribosomal RNA (377 nucleotides) under uncultured bacterium. RNAcentral describes it as "partial 16S ribosomal RNA". It matches the Rfam family "Bacterial small subunit ribosomal RNA", at positions 338 to 732 of the family's 1533-position model. The record is from RNAcentral.